Molecule: ribosomal RNA, 773 nt
Filed under: uncultured Neocallimastigales
Lineage: Eukaryota; Fungi; Neocallimastigomycota; Neocallimastigomycetes; Neocallimastigales
Description: partial large subunit ribosomal RNA
Rfam family: Eukaryotic large subunit ribosomal RNA
Source: RNAcentral
UAUCUCUGUAGAGUCUGCAUAUCAAUAAGCGGAGGAAAAGAAGCUAACUAGGAUUCCCUCAGUAACGGCGAGUGAAGCGGGAAGAGCUCAAAUUUGAAAUCUUCAAGGUUCUACCUUGACGAAUUGUAGUUUAAAGAAGUGUUUUCUGUUGGAGUUUUGGUAAAAGUUCUUCGGAAUAGGACAUCAUAGAGGGUGAGAAUCCCGUAUUUGACCAUUAUUUCCAGCUUUGUGAUACACUUUCAAAGAGUCGGAUUGUUUGGGAAUGCAGUCCAAAAUGGGUGGUAAAUUUCAUCUAAAGCUAAAUACUGGCGAGAGACCGAUAGCGAACAAGUACCGUGAGGGAAAGAUGAAAAGAACUUUGAAAAGAGAGUUAAACAGCACGUGAAAUUGUCAAAAGGGAAGCGUUUGACACCAGUGUUGUUUUCUCGAAAAUCAAUUAAAAAAGUUGGAUUUUGUAUUGUUAAGACCUUAUCAGCUUACUGUACUCUUUUCUUGCUUUUUUUAAUGCACUUUUCGUUUAACAAGUCAACAUCAAUUUCUUUUGUUGUAAAAGAGUCAUUGGAAGGUGGCUUUCACUUCGGUGAAAGUGUUUAUAGCCUUUGGCUUCUGCAAUCGGAGAGAUUGAGGUCUGCAGCGUAGAUCCUUCGGGGCUAGAUACGUAGAUGCUAAGUUAUAGUUUUUUAUAGACAACUUGUUGACUAUAAUUAAUCAUGUAGCUUACUCGUUUGCGCUAUUUUACCUACGCUUAGGAUGUUGACGAUCAGCUGAGCGCG